UUUUAUCAGAGAGUUUGAUCCUGGCUCAGGAUGAACGCUGGCGGCGUGCUUAACACAUGCAAGUCGAACGGGAAAUAUUUCAUUGAGACUUCGGUGGAUUUGAUCUAUUUCUAGUGGCGGACGGGUGAGUAACGCGUGGGUAACCUGCCUUAUACAGGGGGAUAACAGUCAGAAAUGACUGCUAAUACCGCAUAAGCGCACAGGACCGCAUGGUCCGGUGUGAAAAACUCCGGUGGUAUAAGAUGGACCCGCGUUGGAUUAGCUUGUUGGUGGGGUAACGGCCCACCAAG
RNAcentral lists this ribosomal RNA (290 nucleotides) under Ruminococcus sp. AF41-9. Its description in RNAcentral is "partial 16S ribosomal RNA". It matches the Rfam family "Bacterial small subunit ribosomal RNA", at positions 1 to 272 of the family's 1533-position model. The record is from RNAcentral. Lineage: Bacteria; Bacillati; Bacillota; Clostridia; Eubacteriales; Oscillospiraceae.